CCACAGUCCAGAUUUCCCCCAAUACAUUUCCAUACAAACCAGAUCUGCUACUCAUACAAUUUGCUUAUGCCAGUAAACUGUUUAAUGCAUGAUUACAGAUAUAAAUGAAUGUGAGACCACCAAUGAAUGCCGAGAAGAUGAAAUGUGCUGGAAUUACCAUGGUGGCUUCCGCUGUUACCCACAAAACCCAUGUCAAGAUCCCUAUGUUCUAACGUCAGAAAACCGAUGCGUUUGCCCGGUCUCAAACACCAUGUGCC
This 257-nucleotide long non-coding RNA is filed under the name Rattus norvegicus (Norway rat). RNAcentral's name for it is "long non-coding RNA NONRATT009646". Lineage: Eukaryota; Metazoa; Chordata; Mammalia; Rodentia; Muridae. The record is from RNAcentral.